GAUGAAGAACGCAGCGAAAUGCGAUAAGUAAUGUGAAUUGCAGAAUUCAGUGAAUCAUCGAAUCUUUGAACGCACCUUGCGCCCUUUGGCCAUUCCGAAGGGCAUGCCUGUUUGAGUAUCAUGAACACCUCAACUCUUUAUGGUUUUCCAUGAUGAGCUUGGACUCUGGGGGUUUUGCUGGCUCACAGUCGGCUCCUCUAAAAUGAAUCAGCUUACCAGUGUUUGGUGGGUAUCAUGGGUGUGAUAACUAUCUACGCUUGUGGUUUUUCCACCAGGUAACCUUCAGCAGUGGAGGUUCGCUGGAGCUCAUAGAUGUCUCUCCUCAGUGAGGACAGCCCUUUGAAUGUUUGAUCUCAAAUCAGGUAGGACUACCCGCUGAACUUAAGCAUAUCAAUAAGCGGAAGA
This 405-nucleotide unclassified non-coding RNA is filed under the name soil metagenome. RNAcentral's name for it is "partial contains 5.8S ribosomal RNA, internal transcribed spacer 2, and large subunit ribosomal RNA". The stretch from base 1 to 121 matches the Rfam family "5.8S ribosomal RNA", at positions 35 to 154 of the family's 154-position model. The record is from RNAcentral.